GGUCUGUUCGCCCUUUAAAAUCUAACAUGAGCUGAGUUCAGAACGGCGUGAGCUAGUUCAGUUUCUAUCCUCUUUUUGAAAUGAGCUAAUUUUGUACGAAAGGACUUUUUCGCUAAAGCAAUGCUUUGUCACAAAUCUGUGGUUGCAUAAAUAAUAGUGCAUAAUAGGUUGAUUAGCCUAUAGAAAGGGUUA
This 192-nucleotide ribosomal RNA is filed under the name Mytilus trossulus (common blue mussel). RNAcentral describes it as "partial 16S ribosomal RNA". Lineage: Eukaryota; Metazoa; Mollusca; Bivalvia; Mytilida; Mytilidae. The record is from RNAcentral.